GCCCCCCGCCCCCGCCCCGCGCCCUAGGGGGCGGGCCCGGGUGCGCCGGCUGGGAGCUGCGCCCCGAUCCCGGCCUGGAGGCCAACUCCCGCUUCCCAGCCUCCUGGCUUGGAAAGGUUGAGGGAGCAAUGACAGGUGUCCUGAGGCUCAAAUAACUGGCUGAGGCGGCAGAAGAAGCUGGCCCGGUCGUCUUAGAGCCGUCCUGGACGCAGUAGCAGCGCUCACUCACUCGGGUUUGGCCACUACCAGCGGGUGUAGCCCCGGGGACCCUCUGGCAGAGGAACAGGAGAGCGGUGUCCCUGAUGGGGGCCUCCCGGUCAGGCUCCUCUGCCCUGCUUUGGAGGCAUGGAGCUGGCCCUGGUCGCCUUUUAGAACACCGCUUCACUGCGGCGGCUGCCGGCUUGGCACAGCUCCAGAGUCUCCGCUGUCCUGGCAGCCCUGGAGGAAGAACUGUGCCAGGUCCCACAGACCUAGAGCCUGGAUCCAAAGCCAGCUAACCACCAAGGACAGUCAAUUCUUCCUCUUCGAUUGAUGCCAGGUGGAGGCUGACGGAGUCAUUUCUGCCGUGGACGGGAAAUAAGAUUAGAGCCCAGGGUGACAUCCCGUCCCUCCCGGGUGUACAUACCAAAGCAAACAAACGUACUGUACUUUAAGAAACCUGGCCCCUGGGGCCAGACCAUGUAGUAACAGGUUCUGAGAGAUGAGUGGCCCCGGGACUCUCGUCAUUGUUUCUGUGUCUCAUUUCCUGUGAGGGCUUUGAAGACACCACCUUAACAUUUGCAAAGAAGAGCUCUGAAGACUCUCCGGGGACAGGCAUCCCUUCACCUGGAUUCUGCACUACCCUGAGGACAGGACGCCUUUGGUGGAACCUCCCCUAAGUUAUUGGGACGGUGGCAAUGCCUAGUGUGCCAACGCCUUCACCCUCACUCCGUGUCGGGUGCACAAAGCCCUGUCUCCUGCUUGCUUGGACUUUGGGGCCACAAAGGAUGAUCUCUGUCUGAAGUUGGGCAGGUCCUGAGAAUUUGAUCUUUCUGGUGACACAGAUGCCCGCAGCUGUUAGCUUAUUAGGAAAAACCAAAAGCACAAGACCCUGAUACCGGCACAUUUAUGUGCCAGGUAGACAGCAUUAGCUGACCGGUGGAUACCCGGAUACCCGAGCUGUAGUCAGCUACUUCCAGACUCCCAGCCUGAGUUCAAGAGUGGUUUGGACAACACCGGGAGAGCACACCCCACUUAUCUUGCCUUACAAGUACCGGGUUUUUAUCAAAAAAGAGCCCAAUAAGGUAUUUUUUAAAGAUUAGAAAGGAAAAAGAAUAGUAAUUCUUUUUAAGAUGAAAGAAGCAGCAGCAGUGUUAGCCGCAGCUGCCCGGAGCCUCAGGCUGGCAGGGAAAGAUCAGGGACACACAGUUUAGGGAUGGUUUUUGUGAAGGGGGCAUUUUGAAAUUCCAAACCAGAGACGGGUCAGGACCCCGGAGAGGACUCAAAGAGCCAUGAAUGAGAAGGGCGAGCACAGGGCUCAGUGUGGGUGGAUGUGGGGCCUUCAGCUCGUCUAAGACACCAGGGAACAGCGCAUCAGGACUUCCAGUAAACCAGGAGUGAAGCCAGAUGAGAACAGAAGAGGAAGCAGAAAAUGACAAAAGGUGGUUGCCUGCUCGCCCUCCAGCUCGCCUGAACAGGCCUGUAGUCCCAGCAUUUAGGAAAUGGAGAUACGAGGUUGGUAGCCAGCCUGGACUUCUAUGGUGAGACCUUAACUUAAAAAACAAACAAACAAAACCUUUUAGCGGUGCAGUGGUGACCCACGCCUUUAAUCCCAGCACUCGGGAGGCAGAGGCAGGGGAUCUCUGAGUUCCAGGCCAUCCUGGUCUACAAGUUGAGUUCCAGAACAGCAAGGACUACACAGAGAAACCUGGUGCCGGGAAACUUUCAGAGGAAACUAUGCUCAGGGUGCAGGCAUAUGCUUUUCCCGUACUUGGGAGGCUAAGGUGGGGGGGUUGAGGCUAGUCUGGGCAAAAUUCAAGACCCUGUCUCAAACAAAAGUUACAGGACCUAAAGUAACAUAGCUUAUGACUGAUAGAAUCAUUUUUUAAAAUUGUGUUGAAGUGCAUGUUUUUAACUCCUGUGUAUAAUCCCAGCACUUAGAAGGUAGAGAGGAGGAGCAGGAAGUUCAAGAUCAUCCUCAGCUGACAAGGUGAAUCUGAAGUC
Long non-coding RNA from Peromyscus californicus insignis, 2202 nucleotides. RefSeq lists it as uncharacterized. Lineage: Eukaryota; Metazoa; Chordata; Mammalia; Rodentia; Cricetidae. The record is from RefSeq and is a predicted model, not a curated record. The transcript is spliced from 3 exons.